This 889-nucleotide ribosomal RNA is filed under the name uncultured bacterium. RNAcentral describes it as "bacterial SSU rRNA". It matches the Rfam family "Bacterial small subunit ribosomal RNA", at positions 505 to 1397 of the family's 1533-position model. The record is from RNAcentral.
GUGCCAGCCGCCGCGGUAAUACGGAGGAUGCAAGCGUUAUCCGGAUUUAUUGGGUUUAAAGGGUGCGCAGGCGGCUUGUUAAGCGGGAGGUGAAAUGCCGGCGCUCAACGUCGGAAGUGCCUCCCGAACUGGUGAGCUUGAAUGACUCUGCCGUGGGAGGAAUGUGUAGUGUAGCGGUGAAAUGCUUAGAGAUUACACAGAACACCGAUUGCGAAGGCAUCUCACGAAGGGUUGAUUGACGCUGAGGCACGAAAGCGUGGGGAUCAAACAGGAUUAGAUACCCUGGUAGUCCACGCAGUAAACGAUGAUGGCUAACCGCUGGGUCGUUCGAUUCAGUGGCCAAGCGAAAGCGAUAAGCCAUCCACCUGGGGAGUACGACCGCAAGGUUGAAACUCAAAGGAAUUGACGGGGGCCCGCACAAGCGGAGGAACAUGUGGUUUAAUUCGAUGAUACGCGAGGAACCUUACCCGGGCUCGAACGGCUGGUGAACGACACAGAGAUGUGAAGGUCCUUCGGGACGCCAGUCGAGGUGCUGCAUGGUUGUCGUCAGCUCGUGCCGUGAGGUGUCGGCUCAAGUGCCAUAACGAGCGCAACCCUUGCCGUCAGUUACCAUCAAGUAGCGUUGGGGACUCUGGCGGGACUGCCACCGCAAGGUGUGAGGAAGGGGGGGAUGACGUCAAAUCAGCACGGCCCUUACGUCCGGGGCGACACACGUGUUACAAUGGCGGCCACAGAGGGGCACUACCUGGCGACAGGAUGGGAAUCUCGAAAAGCCGUCUCAGUCCGGAUCGGAGUCUGCAACCCGACUCCGUGAAGCUGGAUUCGCUAGUAAUCGCGCAUCAGCCAUGGCGCGGUGAAUACGUUCCCGGGCCUUGUACACACCGCCCGU